This 279-nucleotide ribosomal RNA is filed under the name uncultured Geobacter sp. RNAcentral describes it as "partial 16S ribosomal RNA". It matches the Rfam family "Bacterial small subunit ribosomal RNA", at positions 100 to 365 of the family's 1533-position model. The record is from RNAcentral. Lineage: Bacteria; Pseudomonadati; Thermodesulfobacteriota; Desulfuromonadia; Geobacterales; Geobacteraceae.
CACGGGUGAGUAACGCGUGGAUAAUCUGCCCUGUGAUCUGGGAUAACACUUCGAAAGGGGUGCUAAUACCGGAUAAGACCACGGAGUCUUAGGACUCUGCGGUAAAAGGUGGGGACCUUCGGGCCUACCGUCAUCGGAUGAGUCCGCGUACCAUUAGCUAGUUGGUAGGGUAAGAGCCUACCAAGGCGACGAUGGUUAGCUGGUCUGAGAGGAUGUUUUUUCUACACUGGAACUGAGACACGGUCCAGACUCCUACGGGAGGCAGCAGUGGGGAAUUGG